GGGAUAUUUUAACCCUGGCUCUGGCAGGAGAGCUCUGACACAGCCCUGCUUCGCUCGCCGGUGCCUCCUGAGAUUCUGCUCAAAAAAAAAAAAUAAAUGGAAACGUCCAAAUUUAUUUCCUCAGCCUCCAGGAGUUUGCAGCAGCAUCAGGAGGCACCAAAUCCCCUCUCGUGGUGCCCAGACCCAGCCUGGCCUUGGGCUGAGCCUAAAUUUGCUUUCUCUGAGUUCAUCUGGAUCUCAGGACUCAGGGAACAAUAAGAAAAUUUCUCUUUUUGAGCCAAUCUCCUUCUGAAACGAGCUCCAGGAGUGGUCAUAGCUGCCAUAAAAAUGCCAUGUGCAAGGGAAUAUAUUUCAUAUCAGGCAAGCAGGCUGGGACGAUACGAUCUGUUUGGGCUUUGAAGGUCCUUUCAGCAGAAACAUCUUCUCCCCCAGGGGUGGAGUCUCCUGGGCAGGACUGCAGGGUAGAAUAAGAAAAUAAGAAAAUAAGAAGAAAAUAAGAAAAUAAGAAAAUAAGAAAAUAACUUUAACCCAUGCUGUAAACCAUUUAUUAAUAUUGAAUAAGUCUCUGCCUUCUUUCAACACAAAUAAAAUAUUACUGCUCUCCAGGCUGAAAUAUGCUGAAAUGGAGCAAAGAUUUCUAUUUUUCCAAAACAAACAGUCUUCAAGUGAGGUCCUUUUGCAAUUAUUUUAGAGAUCUUUUUGUGGAUUGGACGAGGGCCUAAAAAUAAUGUUGUAGAUUUUAAGCUCUGGCAGUAGCAAUAAUUAGAGUGCUGUAACUCAGCUCAAGCACCCCACUUUCCUCUGGGUAUCAGGGCUCCCUUUUUCUCCUGGAUAUUUAGAGCAUUUUAAUG
This is a long non-coding RNA of Oenanthe melanoleuca, 851 nucleotides long. RefSeq lists it as uncharacterized. The record is from RefSeq and is a predicted model, not a curated record. Lineage: Eukaryota; Metazoa; Chordata; Aves; Passeriformes; Muscicapidae. The transcript has 4 exons.